UUCCGGUUGAUCCCGCAAGGAACCCACUAGCUAUCGAGCUGGGACUAAGUCCAUGCUAGUAUUCCGUCCCUGGUCCAUUGUCGGGGAAGUGGCAGACUGCUCAGUAACACGUAGGCUUACCUUGCCGUCGGGACAGAGACUACCCCCGGGACUCUGCGGCUAAUCCCCGAUAGGUGCAGAGGCGUGUAACGGUGCCUCUCCCACAGGUCUGUGCGCCCACGUCGCGCGCUGACGCUCAAGCAUGUUGUUGCGGCCGAUCAGCCUCUUGGUGAGGUAUCGGCUCACCAUACCUUUGCCCGGUACGGCCCGUGAGAGCGGUAGCCUGGAGAUCGUCACUGAGACAAGGUAUCAGGCCCUACUCGGCGCAGCAGGCGCGAAACCUCCCCAAUGCACGCAAGUGCGAUGGGGGUACCUUGAGAGCCGUAUGAUUAAGGCGGCUUUUCCGCGAUGUAAUGAGCCGUGGGAAUAAGAGGGGGGCAAGACUGUUGUCAGCCUCCGCGGUAACACCACCCCGUGGAGUGGUCGGGAUGUUUAUUUGGCCUUAAGCGUUGGUAGCCGGCUCGGUAAGUCCCCCGUUAAAUCCAGCGUCCCAAGCGCUGGGCCGCGAGGGAGACUGCCAUCAUAGAGGGUGGGAGAGGUCAGCGGUAUUCGGGGGUAGGGGGGAAUUCCUUUGAUGACAGGAGGACCCCCAGUGGCGAAGAUCGGAGACUAGAACACCCCUAGCGGAGAGGGAAAAAAACGGGGGGAGCGAAUCGGAUUAGAUGACCCAGUACUGCCCUCCUCAAAUAUCACAGAUUAGGUGCAGUAUCGCGCGCGCGUCGCUUCAGUAAGACAGGGAAGCCAUUAAGCCUGGAGCCUGGGGAGUACGGCCGCAAGGGUGAAAGUUAAAGGAAUUGGCGGGGGAGCUCCAC
Molecule: ribosomal RNA, 911 nt
Filed under: uncultured archaeon
Lineage: Archaea
Description: bacterial SSU rRNA
Rfam family: Archaeal small subunit ribosomal RNA
Source: RNAcentral